UCCAAGUGAAGGAGGACUGCUUUGAAGAACUCUACCCCAGAUAACCCCCAAACUGACAGCCUGGGAAGGAAGUGAAUGAACAUGGAUGCUGAGUCACUUUUCACUUUCUUUGCUUUAAACAGCCUUUACUGUGGCUGCAUCUGCUGAAACUGGGGGUGUAAGAGAGGGAGAAGUGUGAUUUACACUGGUGGAUCUUACUGCUGAACUCACUGGUGUUGUGUGAGCUCUGCUUUUGGUUCCUCCGUGCACCUCCAUGUGAAUGGAGCAUGACUGGAAGGCAGUUUAGCAGCCAUCUGAGUUGGGAGAAGGCAAAGCCAGUGAAGGAACAAAGGCC
Molecule: long non-coding RNA, 334 nt
Filed under: Parus major (Great Tit)
Lineage: Eukaryota; Metazoa; Chordata; Aves; Passeriformes; Paridae
Description: lncRNA (ENSPMJG00000015076.1)
Source: RNAcentral